Molecule: microRNA, 23 nt
Filed under: Drosophila erecta
Lineage: Eukaryota; Metazoa; Arthropoda; Insecta; Diptera; Drosophilidae
Description: der-miR-310a-5p
Gene: der-miR-310a-5p
Source: miRBase by way of RNAcentral
AGGACGGGUCGUGUGUCAAUGUA